RNAcentral lists this ribosomal RNA (597 nucleotides) under uncultured bacterium. RNAcentral's name for it is "bacterial SSU rRNA". It matches the Rfam family "Bacterial small subunit ribosomal RNA", at positions 258 to 866 of the family's 1533-position model. The record is from RNAcentral.
UAAUGGCCUACCAAGGCGACGACGGGUAGCCGACCUGAGAGGGUGACCGGCCACACUGGGACUGAGACACGGCCCAGACUCCUACGGGAGGCAGCAGUGGGGAAUAUUGCACAAUGGGCGGAAGCCUGAUGCAGCGACGCCGCGUGAGGGAUGAAGGCCUUCGGGUUGUAAACCUCUUUCAGCAGGGACAAAGCGCAAGUGGCGGUACCUGCAGAGGAAGCACCGGCUAACUACGUGCCAGCAGCCGCGGUAAUACGUAGGGUGCGAGCGUUGUCCGGAAUUACUGGGCGUAAAGAGUUCGUAGGCGGUUUGUCGCGUCGUUUGUGAAAACCCGGGGCUCAACUUCGGGCUUGCAGGCGAUACGGGCAGACUUGAGUGCUUCAGGGGAGACUGGAAUUCCUGGUGUAGCGGUGAAAUGCGCAGAUAUCAGGAGGAGCACCGGUGGCGAAGGCGGGUCUCUGGGAAACAACUGACGCUGAGGAACGAAAGCGUGGGUAGCAAACAGGAUUAGAUACCCUGGUAGUCCACGCCGUAAACGGUGGGCGCUAGGUGUGGGUUCCUUCCACGGAAUCUGUGCCGUAGCUAACGCAUUAAGCG